UGUUGAACUGCAAGGAUCUACACCAGUAUGUUUUUUUCCUUUUGUGAAGUGAAGGUUCCAAGUUCUAUUUCGGAGAUUGAGGAUCAGAUAACAACCAUGUUGAGUGUGCAUGCAGGGACUACAUGCGGUACUGUUGUCAUGCCUUUGGUACAAUGUGCUCAUCUGAUGAUACCCAUGUUAUUCUGAUUAGGAUGAAUUGCGGCAGCAG
This 208-nucleotide long non-coding RNA is filed under the name Linum usitatissimum (flax). RNAcentral's name for it is "long non-coding RNA (LUSI_LNC000093)". Lineage: Eukaryota; Viridiplantae; Streptophyta; Magnoliopsida; Malpighiales; Linaceae. The record is from RNAcentral.